AUAUUCGGGGCAGGGUGAAAUUCCCGACCGGCGGUAUUAAGACUUGAUCUUUAAGCCCGCGAGAGUGAUCUGAUUUGGUGAGAUUCCAAAGCCGACAGUAAAGUCUGGAUGGGAGAAUA
Molecule: non-coding RNA, 119 nt
Filed under: uncultured Eubacterium sp.
Lineage: Bacteria; Bacillati; Bacillota; Clostridia; Eubacteriales; Eubacteriaceae
Description: FMN riboswitch (RFN element)
Rfam family: FMN riboswitch aptamer (RFN element)
About the family: The RFN element is a highly conserved domain that is found frequently in the 5'-untranslated regions of prokaryotic mRNAs that encode for flavin mononucleotide (FMN) biosynthesis and transport proteins. This element is a metabolite-dependent riboswitch that directly binds FMN in the absence of proteins.
Source: RNAcentral